RNAcentral lists this ribosomal RNA (263 nucleotides) under uncultured bacterium. RNAcentral describes it as "partial 16S ribosomal RNA". It matches the Rfam family "Bacterial small subunit ribosomal RNA", at positions 793 to 1055 of the family's 1533-position model. The record is from RNAcentral.
GUCCACGCUGUAAACGAUGGUUACUAGGUGUCCGUCCGCCUCAGGCGGAUGGGUGCCCAAGCGAAAGCGAUAAGUAACCCACCUGGGGAGUACGACCGCAAGGUUGAAACUCAAAGGAAUUGACGGGGCCCGCACAAGCGGUGGAGCAUGUGGUUUAAUUCGAUGGUACGCGAGGAACCUUACCUGGGCUAGAAUGCCCCCUGACAGUCCGUGAAAGCGGAUUUUCCUUCGGGACAGGGAGCAAGGUGCUGCAUGGCUGUCGU